AUCACAAUAACAUUAUACUGGAAUCAUAAGAGGGGCCAGGAAAAAUAGUUACCUCCAGUCCUUUAUGAUCCAAGAACAGAGACCACCUACCAUGCUCUUGCCUGAAGCAGGUUACAUUUCAAUUUUGAAAACAGCUCUCUGAGUUCAGCCAGCCUGCUGGCUAUACGCCUUCAUGGGCCCCCACCCCAGCAUCAGGACCCAGUAGCCUCAAUAGCCCUGUAUCACUUGAUCUUGCAGUCGUUUAUGGGAGGUACGGACUGUUCAGGGAGUAGGCACGAUUUAUUUUUGGUUCUUGUCUCUCUGGAGGGAAAUUAACUCCAGAUGACACAGCCAGGACGAAGGGAUGGUAGCUGAGCUCUUUCCCGGGAACCUGAGGGCGGCUGCUGACCCUGGAGAGGGUUAGACAACAGCGAGGAACCAAUCGGGACCCUCACUUGGCGGGGAGCCCCAGCUCACAGAUGAUGUUGAUCUGAUGAGCCCGGGUCUCCCAGAGAAUCGUAGAAAGUCAUUUUAAGGGACAUCCUGGCCAUCUCUGAUUUAAGAUGCAGGGACCCUGAGGCAGAGAGGGUCAAAUGACUCGCCCAAGGUCACAAUUAGGCAGGUGGCAGAAUGAAGCCUAGAACCCAAGUCAAUCAGCUCUCAGUUCAGUGCUUUUCCCAUAAUAGCCCAUCACCUCUUUCAAGCAAGAAAGGAUAGCAAGAAUUGGGCACUCAUCACCACCUUAUUUAAAGGGCAAUGCCAUCUUCCACCAGCAUCCCUCCAGCUGCUGCAUCCUCCUCUCAGCCUGGGAUGGUGUUUUCAGCUAAAUUACAGAUUCAGAUAACUAGGUCAAUGCCAGUGCAGGAUUUCUUCAGUAUGUUUAAGCUGACUAGAUAAACAUGUUGCAAACUUGGACCUGAAGGAGCCCUGAGGACCAGGAGGGGAAGGCGUGGGAGCAUAAGUGGUAGUAGAUGAGGUAAGUCAGGUGAGGUAAGGCUGAAGUGAGCUCCUCAAGGUGAGAGAGAGAGGGUGGGAGAGCAGCAAGGUUGGCACAGGGGCACAGGUGGCACAGAGACCCUGGGGAGGAGGCAAGGUGCGCAUGAGUCUGGGAAUCAUGAGUAGCUAGCUGGGGGCGGCGGUGUGGGGGGCGUGCUUACAGACUCCAUCAGAAUGGAGUUCUAACUGUCACACUUGUUUUCUGCCAAGAGGCUGUGGACAAGGAGCUGGGAAUCAGGAGCUGCCAAAGCAAGGGAGAACUUUCCACCCAGACUGGAUUCCCUAGGCUAGAGUGAACCACUGCAUAGAGUGGCCCGGCAGGAAGUGUGCUUUAUGGAGAUUUGCCGGGCAGCAGGUGUGGAAAUUGGCAGAGCGAGACAGGAAGAUGACUUUGAGGAUGGAAGGGCUCGAGGCAGAAAGCAGUUUGCAAACUGUUGAAAAUGACUUGGGCAGAGGUAAUUAAUUCCAUUCAGCGGUUAGCUGGUGCUCUUAUCCUGCACAUUUGGAAUGAUGGGGCUUGACAAGUCUGAUGCAGCUUUCCAGAAUAAAGGUAAAAGCAGACGUUUCACAGAAAAGCCAAAACAGAAUGCAUUCUUUUUACUGAUCCCUAAGCUCCGACUUUUCUCUCUGCCUCCAGCAGGGCUCCUCCAGAACACGCCCCGCCCCCCCCUCCUCUGCCCAGGUUCCCCUCUCUUUGGGGAAAGAGCCCCUGGUAGUUAUCAGGUGACCUCGAGUGACUCCCCACCCCACCCCCGCUCCACACGCACACAUACAGAUACAUGGACCAAACCACCUACUCAGCUUCGCUUCUCCUUUUUCACCAGAUUGAACAGAUAUCACAUCUAAGCAAACAUAAGCAGAAGGAAUAAACAUUUUCAAGCACCUUAGUUGAGCCUGUGGUUGCAGGAGCCCAGGAACCAUUCCUUAGCUCUCUCACAGCCACUGUCUUCUGGGACUCUGGGACAGGAAGCCUAGAAGUCCCAAGACCUGCCUUUGAGCUCCAGACAUGUGGCCUUGGGCAAAUCACUCCCCCACCCCAGUUCUGGGCUUCAGUUCCCUGAUCUGUAAACUGCAACAUCAUUCCAGAUGAUCCCAGAGGCCCUUCCUUUCCUGCAGUCUGUUCUCUCAGUCCUAGGGCCUUCCUCAGACCCCCCUCGGAGGGUGGAGGCACACAGCUGAAGAGGGUCCAGGGACAUUUACGGCGUCCUUCCCACUUCCCCACAAGGCACCCUCCAGAGACAUCCCAGGAAGGAGGUCUCCAGGGAGCAACAGUCCCCCUGGGGACCUGAGGGAUUAGCCGAGUCACCAGCAUAACUGAUGGAUACUGCAAUGAACUGUUAGAGCUGCUUGGGUGCCAGGAGCUACAGAGGGUGGUGGCAAACAGCGAGGAGCCUCACAUGGCAGAGGCUCCUGCCAUCCUGAUCCCAGGCCUUCUAAGCUAGAAAUGGAGCCUUGCUGCCUAGAUCCUUGGCACCCUGACUCCAGGGCCCACCAGCAGCCUGAACCCCCACCCUUGGGGCUCAGGAGCGGGUGCACAGGCCUGAGCGUCAGCAGAGAGGGGGGGUCGUCUGCAGCCAGGGGAGGGCCUUCUCCACCAGCCCACCCAAACGCAGCUUGGCUGCUGUCCUCUCUGAGUUUUUCAGAAGUGAAAAAAGAGAGAGGGCAGAGGGGGAGCUGGCAGGCUCUGGAACCCUUCUGUUUUCUCAAGGGCGUCGCAAUAGGUCCAAAAUGACUUUGGGUUUGAAAGUGAAAUGCCAGCUCAGAGCAGAUUCCUGACGAAUGUGGCCCAGAUGUUUCUGAGCGAUUUAUUUUUGCUAAUGGAAAAUGGCUGAGCUAAUAACCCUCGCAAGGCAUUGCUGGCGGGAGAACUAAGUCUGCUUUGCUUCUCUGCUCCUUGUAUUUGCUUGUGGUUUUCUUUUAGGGAAGAAAAGAAAGAAACUGGAUGUAGGACAAAGCCCAAGUUAACAACUUUGUCCAUUUGACAGCUAAUGCCAAAAUCCCAAGCCUAGAUAUUUUUUUUUUUGACCUGAUUUCUAUCAAUUAGUGAACAUUCACUGGGGCCCAAACACUUCUCAUUUAAUCACUAUGUCCUUUAAUCCUCUAAAGAGGCAACCAAGGCUCAGAGAGGUGAUGAGUCUGCCUCGAGUCACACAGCCAGUAAAACAGAGCUGAAAAUCAGACCCCUGUGAGACUCUGGAUCAAAAACCUUUCCACUAUGGUGCUGUGGAGAAACGACAGGGACCUCCAAGGUUGAAAGGGGACUUGGGGUGAGGGGAUGUCUUCCGAUUGAUCCAUCUGCUAUUUGUCAGCACAUCCAAGUUGUGCCCUAAACGUAAAGGUUUUAGUGAGUUCCCUUUCCUUAAAAGCACUGCUUUUUGGUUGUUUUUGUGUGUUUGUUUGUUUUGUCUUUUAGGGCCACGCCCGCGGCAUAUGGAGGUUCCAGCCAGAAACUUUGGCCAAGUAUUUUUAUCUAGACAAAGCAAUUGUCCUAAAAUGGGUCAUUAGAGUGCUUUUAAAAAACAUGCUCAAAGACAAAAAUUGACUUUUUAAUAAAUGGUGCUGAGACAAUCAGCUACCCACUGGGGAAAAAAAAAAAUAAUCAGACCCAUACUUCAUACCAUACACAAAAAUAAACCUCAAUCAGAUCAGAGAUCUAAAUGUAAAAAAUAAAUAAAAUCACACUAGCAGUAGGGAAAAAAU
This 3675-nucleotide long non-coding RNA is filed under the name Sus scrofa (pig). RNAcentral describes it as "lncRNA (ENSSSCG00025043521.1)". Lineage: Eukaryota; Metazoa; Chordata; Mammalia; Artiodactyla; Suidae. The record is from RNAcentral.